AUGUUUGUCAAAUCGCUUCUGCUCCUUUCUGUCGCUAUUGCGUACGUUUCCGCCGACUGCCUCCACUGCAUCUGCAUGAGAGAGUCAGGAUGCAAACCAAUCGGUUGCCACAUGGACGUUGGAUCCCUCUCCUGCGGAUACUAUCAGGUAAAUCAAGAUCAACUAGGGAAUAUGUGAAUCUAGAAAUGGAAAUAGCAGAAUAUCAGAACACGUUUUCAAUUUUGUCAUGAAACCAUACAAGAUGUUCGGUUGCCUGUUUAUUGUUUUGCCAUUUAAAUAAGGAAACAAUAACACUUCAGAAAAAUACGUGAAAUUCAAAAGCUCAUCUUUCAUGUCUUCAUUAAUUGAUGGUUUUUGAAAUCGGCACGAAAUGUUUGUUAUGCCUCAUUGAACAGAUAUUUCUUUAAUGAAAAUCUAGCAUAAUUGAAACGGUUCAUCGGACCACAGCCCCCAUAUUUUUCACAUAUCUCUUCUCAAGCGAAUCGGAAGUUCCUAAUCAGUAUGGUAAAAUAAAUCGCGUUGAAUUUUAAUUUUGAGUUUUUUCGAUAAAAAUGUAUAACAAGAAACGAUGUUUUAAAUUGCUAAAACAAAAAAACCACAAAAGAGCAAAUGCGUACUUUCCCGAGGAAAUGGACAGGAAAUGCUUUGAAAAUGUUAAAACGGGAUUGAUUUUUGUAUAGGGGAACUUUUGCAUUGAAGCUAAGAAGAUAAAAGGCAUACUAGAAAUGAAAACUUUCAAAACCAUGUAGACAAGGAAAUUGUAUGGAACAACAACAAGGAUAUACAAAAAUUGAACUCUACUCUAUGUAUUCCAGUUUUUUUUAAUUUUAAAUGUACCAAGACCCAACUAUAAAAAGUAAAGAAUAAAAAUAUAAUAUGUUUCUUUUAGAUCAAGAUUGGAUACUAUGAAGACUGCGGACAACCAACAAAGAAGGCUGGAGAGACUACUGAAGCUGCCUGGAAGAGAUGUGCUGAUGAUCUUAACUGCGCUACCACUUGCGUCGAGAACUACUACAACCGCUACAAGUCUCAGUGCAAUGGACUUGGAAUGGGAGCUUGCCAGAUCAUGUCCCGUAACCACAACGGAGGACCACGUGGAUGCCACAACGCCAACACCUUGGCUUACUGGAACGGAGUUAAAAGCUGCUGUGGAUGCUCUUAA
Molecule: RNA transcript, 1162 nt
Organism: Caenorhabditis elegans
Lineage: Eukaryota; Metazoa; Nematoda; Chromadorea; Rhabditida; Rhabditidae
Gene: ilys-5
Gene name: Non-coding transcript of protein-coding gene ilys-5
Exons: 4
Source: RefSeq, marked reviewed